This is a long non-coding RNA of Triticum aestivum (bread wheat), 1884 nucleotides long. RefSeq lists it as uncharacterized. NCBI's taxonomy places the organism in Eukaryota, Viridiplantae, Streptophyta, Magnoliopsida, Poales, Poaceae. The record is from RefSeq and is a predicted model, not a curated record. The transcript has 2 exons.
CAAAAAUGUAUAUUCAGAGAGAGAAAAUGCAUGGAUGGCGACAGUCAAGCGAUUUUAUUGGUAAAUGGAGCGUGUCCCUGCUAGUAGUUAAUCUAUCUAGUUUUUUAUUAUUACCAAAUCUGGUCAAUUUAAUCAAGUGCUCUCGUGUCCAGAGGCUAGUCGGGUGUCCACCGACCAUCUCGCGCAGAUGACGCGUUUCAUCUGACCCCAAACUCCCACCGUUGUCUAUCCCUCCUCCAACCUUAUCUUCUCUCCUUCUCCUACCUUUCAGUUCUUUCCUUUUUCCUUGGCCAUGAGAGCAGGAGAGCAUGUCCUCGUCCCUUGUGACCGCCCAGGCCGUCCCUUCCCUCGCUCGCAUGAGGUGCCUCCUCCAACCGCACCCGGAGAUGGUGCCCCGAGCCGCUUGAAGCAGGCCAGCCAGUAGCCGCCCCUGUUCCUCCUCUCACUCGGCUUUUCCCUCUCCUUCUCUCUCAAUUUUCGCCAUUGACAACCCCCGCAGCACCCCGCCCGCCAUCUUCGGCCACCUCUUCGUCGGCCUCGUGCUCCUCCGCCUCGAUCCGUCCGCCGCGCCACCGGAUCCACGCUGGAGCAGCCGGAUCCGCGGCCUCCUGCCUCGUCUGCCGUCGGGAGAGCCGCCUCACGCAGGCCAGCCGUCUACUCCUCUUCUCUGGGCUUUUCCCCCCUUCUCUCUCUCUCUCUCUCUCUCUCAUCUCCGUUUUCUCCAGGGAAGGAAGUGGCCAUGGAUCACAACCCGCAGCACCCCUGCUCUCGUUGCCGGAAACCUCUCUGUCGGCCUCGAGCUCCUCCGCCUCGAUCCGUCCGUACGACCCGCCGCCACCUCCUGCAUCGCCUGUCGUCUGGAGGAGGACGACCGAGAGUAGUGCCCGUUCGUCCGCCGCGUGGACUGGCUCAGCCCAGCUCGCCUGCUAAAGCCGUCGAGCAUCUGCCUUGUCGAGGCAACACUCCUCUACCUCGCCCCGCACCGCCGCGGUCUCCUCCGCCUCCACCCGCGCCACCCAUCUUCCUCCCUGUCCCCACCCCUCUCCCUCCCCACCCCUGCUCCCGCCCCUCUUCUCCCCGUUCAGCUUCCGCAUCACGGAGCGCAGCCACCGGACCGCCGCGAACAGCGAGGAGCAGCAUGGGCGUGGGGGCGAGUCGGGGACGCAAGCGUGGUCGUUAUCCACUUAAAAAGGACUGCGGGUUGAAUACCCCAAACCACAUGGUCUUUUUUGUAAAAUGUGCGACGACGUACGACCAGAAGCACUCUGUGCUUUAUUAGUAGGGAAAGAGGGAAAGAUAUAUAUAUAUAUAUAUACAUAUAUAUAUAUAUAUAUAUAUAUAUAUAUAUACAAAUGUUCGUGCGUUGCAACGGGAGAAAAUGUUGGCUUCAAUGAAUCUGCCAGAUCAAGGAACCAUGUCGUUGGACAACGCUCGCUGAUGAUAAGAAAUUGGUUCAUUUCAUCAACAUAUGGGGUGAUACAUCAUCAACCGAAUGGGAUAAGGCUUGGUCUAGUUUUAAGAAGAAAGGGAAGAAGACCCUAUUCUCAGAGUUCUCACCGAACAAAUAUGUGACCUGUAACCCACGGCGCAUUGAGUAUCCAUUGUCAGAAGAAGUCGAUCCAAUCAAAAGAGCCGAGAGGUCUAACUUGAUGUUGUGAACAAGCCCAAUAUGUACCUUAGUAGGGGUGAUUAUCUUCGUUUCGGCAUUUCUUAUCUAUACAUUGGUUGUCCCACCCAAGUAACAGGUGAGCUGUAGGCCAAAGAUUCUACUUGGAAGUCUGUAUUGUACAUUUAGUUUGUACUAUACCAAGUAUAAUCAUGGUUCUGUAUUGCUUCAAGCACAUUGUAAUAGAUCAUAAUACAGAACUCCUUCCAUUUUGGUGA